RNAcentral lists this ribosomal RNA (2147 nucleotides) under human gut metagenome. RNAcentral describes it as "bacterial LSU rRNA". It matches the Rfam family "Bacterial large subunit ribosomal RNA", at positions 502 to 2667 of the family's 2925-position model. The record is from RNAcentral.
CGUGAGGGAAAGGUGAAAAGAACCCCGGGAGGGGAGUGAAAUAGAACCUGAAACCCUGCACUUACAAGCUGUGGAAGCACAUUUCUUGUGUGACCGCGUACUUUUUGUAGAACGGGCCAACGAGUUACGUUAAGUAGCAAGGUUAAGCACUUAAGGUGUGGAGCCGUAGCGAAAGCGAGUUUUAACUGAGCGUUCAGUUACUUGACGUAGACCCGAAACCGGGCGACCUACCCAUGAGCAGGAUGAAGCGAAAGUAAAAUUUCGUGGAGGUCCGAACCCACGAGCGUUGAAAAGCUCGGGGAUGACUUGUGGGUAGCGGUGAAAUUCCAAUCGAGCCCGGAGAUAGCUGGUUCUCCCCGAAAUAGCUUUAGGGCUAGCCUCAAGGUGAGAGAUACGGAGGUAGAGCACUGAAUGUCCUAGGGGGUAUUGCACCUACCGAAGACUAUCAAACUCCGAAUGCCGUCAUCUUAUACUUGGGAGUCAGACUGUGGGUGAUAAGAUUCAUAGUCGAAAGGGCAACAGCCCAGAUCGUCAGCUAAGGUCCCUAAAUGUAAGUUAAGUGGUAAAGGAUGUGGGAUUGCACAGACAACCAGGAUGUUGGCUUAGAAGCAGCCACUCAUUCAAAGAGUGCGUAAUAGCUCACUGGUCGAGUGAUCCUGCGCCGAAGAUUUCCGGGGCUAAAACUUACUACCGAAGCUACGGCAUCAGUAAUGAUGGGUAGGGGAGCUUCCCAUACGGGUUGAAGCAUGACCGUAAGGACAUGUGGACAGUAUGGGAGUGAGAAUGUUGGCAUGAGUAGCGAGAUGUGGGUGAGAAUCCCACAGGCCGUAAACCCAAGGUUUCCAGGGGAAGGUUCGUCCGCCCUGGGUUAGUCGGGACCUAAGCUGAGGCCGAAAGGCGUAGGUGAUGGACAACAGGUUGAUAUUCCUGUACUACCGAUAACCGUUUGAGAGAAGGGAUGACACAGUAGGAUAAGCUAAGCACACUGUUGGUUAUGUGUGCCCAAGCAUUGAGGCAGUCAAAGUAGGCAAAUCCGCUUUGAUAAUGCUGGGAUGUGAUGGGGAGCGAAAUUUAGUAGCGAAGUAGCUGAUUUCACACUGUCAAGAAAAGUCUCUAUCGAGGUUAAAGGUACCCGUACCGCAAACCGACACAGGUGGGUGAGGAGAGUAUCCUAAGGCCAGCGAGAGAACUGUUGUUAAGGAACUCGGCAAAAUGACCCCGUAACUUAGGGAUAAGGGGUGCCACCAUCAGGUGGCCGCAGAGAAUAGGCCCAAGCGACUGUUUACCAAAAACAUAGGUUUCUGCUAAGUCGCAAGACGAUGUAUAGGAGCUGACGCCUGCCCGGUGCUGGAAGGUUAAGGGGAUCUGUUAGAGCAAUCGAAGCAGUGAACUUAAGCCCCAGUAAACGGCGGCCGUAACUAUAACGGUCCUAAGGUAGCGAAAUUCCUUGUCGGGUAAGUUCCGACCCGCACGAAAGGCGUAACGAUUUGGGCACUGUCUCAACAACAGACUCGGUGAAAUUGUAAUUCCGGUGAAGAUGCCGGAUACCUGCGACAGGACGGAAAGACCCCAUGGAGCUUUACUGUAGCUUGACAUUGGGUCUUGGUACUACAUGUACAGGAUAGGUGGGAGGCUUUGAAACCAGGACGCCAGUUUUGGCGGAGCCAUCCUUGGGAUACCACCCUUGUAGUACUGGGACUCUAACCAUAGGCCAUGAAUCUGGUCUUGGGACACUGUCAGGUGGGCAGUUUGACUGGGGCGGUCGCCUCCCAAAAGGUAACGGAGGCGCUCAAAGGUUCUCUCAGUACGGUCGGAAAUCGUACGUAGAGUGUAAAGGCAAAAGAGAGCUUGAUUGCAAGACAUACAGGUCGAGCAAGGAUGAAAAUCGGACUUAGUGAUCCGGUGGUUCUGCGUGGAAGGGCCAUCGCUCAACGGAUAAAAGCUACCCUGGGGAUAACAGGCUUAUCUCCCCCAAGAGUCCACAUCGACGGGGAGGUUUGGCACCUCGAUGUCGGCUCAUCACAUCCUGGGGCUGUAGUAGGUCCCAAGGGUUGGGCUGUUCGCCCAUUAAAGUGGUACGCGAGCUGGGUUCAGAACGUCGUGAGACAGUUCGGUCCCUAUCCGUCGCAGGCGUAGGAAAUUUGAGA